UGUCGUCAGCUCGUGUUGUGAAAUGUUGGGUUAAGUCCCGCAACGAGCGCAACCCUUAUCCUUUGUUGCCAGCGGUCCGGCCGGGAACUCAAAGGAGACUGCCAGUGAUAAACUGGAGGAAGGUGGGGAUGACGUCAAGUCAUCAUGGCCCUUACGACCAGGGCUACACACGUGCUACAAUGGCGCAUACAAAGAGAAGCGACCUCGCGAGAGCAAGCGGACCUCAUAAAGUGCGUCGUAGUCCGGAUUGGAGUCUGCAACUCGACUCCAUGAAGUCGGAAUCGCUAGUAAUCGUGGAUCAGAAUGCCACGGUGAAUACGUUCCCGGGCCUUGUACACACCGCCCGUCACACCAUGGGAGUGGGUUGCAAAAGAAGUAGGUAGCUUAACCUUCGGGAGGGCGCUUACCACUUUGUGAUUCAUGACUGGGGUGAAGUCGUAACAAGGUAACCGUAGGGGAACCUGCGGUUGGAUCACCUCCUUACCUUAAAGAA
Molecule: ribosomal RNA, 493 nt
Filed under: Escherichia coli
Lineage: Bacteria; Pseudomonadati; Pseudomonadota; Gammaproteobacteria; Enterobacterales; Enterobacteriaceae
Also listed under: 10 other names
Description: bacterial SSU rRNA
Rfam family: Bacterial small subunit ribosomal RNA
Source: RNAcentral